UACUUCACUCUUAACAUGUAAUCCAAAUAUUUUUGAAAUCGGCCCCUGGGGUCCGGAGAAAAACCGGUUCUAAUAUUCCACAUGAACAGUCGCUUUACAAAGCCUGUCUUAUUUACCCAGUAGUGGGAGUGAUUGAAAUAGGUUCCUUAAUUCACUUUUAACAUGAAAUUAAAAUAUUUUUGAAAUCGGUCAAAGGAGACCCGAGAAAAAAACUGAUUCAAAUGUUCUCCUCAGAUAGUCACUUAACAAAGUCUUUGGCAUUUGCCCAGUACUGGGAGUGGUCAAAGUAGGUUCUUUACUUCACUCUUAACAUGAAAUCAAAAUAUUUUUGAAAUCAGUCCUUGGGGUCCGGAGAAAACCCGGUUCUAAUAUUCCACAUGAACAGUCGCUUUACAAAGCCUGUCUUAUUUACCCAGUAGUGGGAGUGAUUGAAAUAGGUUCCUUAAUUCACUUUUAACAUGAAAUUAAAAUAUUUUUGAAAUCGGUCAAAGGAGACCCGAGAAAAAAACUGAUUCAAAUGUUCUCCUCAGAUAGUCACUUAACAAAGUCUUUGGCAUUUGCCCAGUACUGGGAGUGGUCAAAGUAGGUUCUUUACUUCACUCUUAACAUGAAAUCAAAAUAUUUUUGAAAUCAGUCCUUGGGGUCCGGAGAAAACCCGGUUCUAAUAUUCCACAUGAACAGUCGCUUUACAAAGCCUGUCUUAUUUACCCAGUAGUGGGAGUGAUUGAAAUAGGUUCCUUACUUCACUUUUAACAUGAAAUUAAAAUAUUUUUGAAAUCAGUCCCAGGGGUCCCGAGAAAAACCGAUUCAAAUGUUGUCCUUAGAUAGUCACUUAACAAAGUCUUUGGCAUUUGCCCAGUAGUGGGAGUGGUCAAAAUAGGUUCUUUACUUCACUCUUAACAUGAAAUCAAAAUAUUUUUGAAAUCAGUCCUUGGGGUCCGGAGAAAACCCGGUUCUAAUAUUCCACAUGAACAGUCGCUUUACAAAGCCUGUCUUAUUUACCCAGUAGUGGGAGUGAUUGAAAUAGGUUCCUUAAUUCACUUUUAACAUGAAAUUAAAAUAUUUUUGAAAUCGGUCAAAGGAGACCGAGAAAAAACUGAUUCAAAUGUUCUCCUCAGAUAGUCACUUAACAAAGUCUUUGGCAUUUGCCCAGUACUGGGAGUGGUCAAAGUAGGUUCCUUAAUUCACUUUUAACAUGAAAUUAAAAUAUUUUUGAAAUCGGUCAAAGGAGACCCGAGAAAAAAACUGAUUCAAAUGUUCUCCUCAGAUAGUCACUUAACAAAGUCUUUGGCAUUUGCCCAGUACUGGGAGUGGUCAAAGUAGGUUCUUUACUUCACUCUUAACAUGAAAUCAAAAUAUUUUUGAAAUCAGUCCUUGGGGUCCGGAGAAAACCCGGUUCUAAUAUUCCACAUGAACAGUCGCUUUACAAAGCCUGUCUUAUUUGCCCAGUAGUGGGAGUGAUUGAAAUAGGUUCCUUACUUCACUUUUAACAUGAAAUUAAAAUAUUUUUGAAAUCGGUCAAAGGAGACCCGAGAAAAAAAACCGAUUCAAAUGUUCUCCUCAGAUAGUCACUUAACAAAGUCUUUGGCAUUUGCCCAGUACUGGGAGUGGUCAAAGUAGGUUCUUUACUUCACUCUUAACAUGAAAUCAAAAUAUUUUUGAAAUCAGUCCUUGGGGUCCGGAGAAAACCGGUUCUAAUAUUCCACAUGAACAGUCGCUUUACAAAGCCUGUCUUAUUUACCCAGUAGUGGGAGUGAUUGAAAUAGGUUCCUUAAUUCACUUUUAACAUGAAAUUAAAAUAUUUUUGAAAUCGGUCAAAG
Molecule: long non-coding RNA, 1820 nt
Organism: Helicoverpa armigera (cotton bollworm)
Lineage: Eukaryota; Metazoa; Arthropoda; Insecta; Lepidoptera; Noctuidae
Exons: 4
Source: RefSeq, a predicted model, not a curated record